This 300-nucleotide ribosomal RNA is filed under the name uncultured Desulfovibrio sp. RNAcentral's name for it is "bacterial SSU rRNA". The stretch from base 53 to 300 matches the Rfam family "Bacterial small subunit ribosomal RNA", at positions 547 to 795 of the family's 1533-position model. Lineage: Bacteria; Pseudomonadati; Thermodesulfobacteriota; Desulfovibrionia; Desulfovibrionales; Desulfovibrionaceae. The record is from RNAcentral.
GGGUGAUGAGGGGCAGGCGGGCGCGGUAGUGAGGGGGGUGGAAGGGGUGUGGGGAAUCGUUGGGCGUGAGGAGAGGGUGGGCGGGUAGUUAAGGAGAUUGUGAAAGAGGUGGGCGCAACCGGGGAAGGGGAGUCGAAACUAACUAGCUAGAGGACGGCAGAGGAAGGUGGAAUUCCAAGUGUAGAGGUGAAAUUCGUAGAUAUUUGGAGGAAUACCGGUGGCGAAGGCGGCCUUCGGGACCGGUCCUGACGCUGAGACGCGAAAGCGUGGGGAGCAAACAGGAUUAGAUACCCGAUAGUC